UACGUAGGGGGCAAGCGUUGUCCGGAUUCAUUGGGCGUAAAGCGCGUGUAGGCGGCCCGGUAAGUCCGCUGUGAAAGUCGGGGGCUCAACCCUCGAAUGCCGGUGGAUACUGUCGGGCUAGAGUACGGAAGAGGCGAGUGGAAUUCCUGGUGUAGUGGUGAAAUGCGCAGAUAUCAGGAGGAACACCAAUUGCGAAGGCAGCUCGCUGGGACGUCACUGACGCUGAGACGCGAAAGCGUGGGGAGCAAACAGG
This 253-nucleotide ribosomal RNA is filed under the name uncultured bacterium. RNAcentral describes it as "partial 16S ribosomal RNA". It matches the Rfam family "Bacterial small subunit ribosomal RNA", at positions 524 to 776 of the family's 1533-position model. The record is from RNAcentral.